CUGGAAGACCACCGCAGCUGCCAAGAUCUUGCUCACUUGGUCGACACAAGUUGUUCCGCAAUCUCGUGCCACGUAGAACCCAAGAUCUCUGUCAACUUUACUGAAAUUUACUCUUGAGUUAACAGAUGCCAUCAAGAAAUGCUCAAGGUCUAAGAACAGCAAGAUAUUCCAAGUUCUUACCAAGAAUGUGUACAAGCAUUGAUUUAUACUUUUCAAACUGUAACAGCUAUGGCCUGUAUAUUCUACCUAUGUGUAGUGAAGACAAAUGUAUGAUGUAUAGACUUACAUGUUGUUGCUCAUGUAGAUAGUCUGGCAUUUUUACUUUUCUAAAAAUUUUAUAGCACGUAUAUAUUGCAGCUAGAUACUAAUAGUGAAGUUUUAGCGUUAAAUUAUUAAA
Corticium candelabrum is the source of this 397-nucleotide long non-coding RNA. RefSeq lists it as uncharacterized. NCBI's taxonomy places the organism in Eukaryota, Metazoa, Porifera, Homoscleromorpha, Homosclerophorida, Plakinidae. The transcript has 3 exons. The record is from RefSeq and is a predicted model, not a curated record.